AUGUUGUUCCUAUUUUUAAAACAAUGGUCUCCUUGGCAACUGUGUUUAACUCACAGGAUUUGUUCUGCUCCAGCUAGCCAGAGCAACUUAAAAGAAACAAACACCUUGAAACAGAACAAGAUCAGGAAAAUAAGGUCCAAGGGUCUUCUGAUUUUCAGUUCAGCAUCCUUUCCUCUGAAUCAUGCUGUCUUUCUUCCUUUUACCCUCACAGCUCUAACUCUUUAAGAAAAUUUUCUUUACCUGAAAUCUCAUUUUGCCUCUUGGCAAUUUUCCACUUAUGACUCCUACUGCUGCCCUUUGGAGCCAAGCAGAGAAAAUCUAAUUAAUCUCUCAGGUGAGAAACCUUUAAAUACUUGAAGAUGGCUAUCAUGUACCUUCUAAGGCUUUUCUAGCUCAUCCUUAGCAUCCCCAGGUCUUCAAACUGAUCCUCAUAUGGCAUGGACUUAAAGCCUUUUACUGUUUGGAUUGAUUUCUUCUAGAUGUUUUGAAGCAUCUUAUCAAUGUUCUUUCUAAAAUGUGGUAUGCAGUUAGGGUUUGAACAGUGCACAGUACUAUGGGGCUAUCACAGCCUGGGGGCUACACCCCUUUUAAGCAAACCCCAGAUUGCUUUAGCAUUUUUGAUUGCCAUUGACUUCUACUGAGCUUGCCAUCCACUAAACCCCUAUCUUUUCAGAUAAAUUGCCGUUCCCCCACCCACCCAGAUAAAUCAGGCCUCUCCUAUCUUAUGAAAUCAAUUUUAGCCCAUUUAUGAAACUUUCUAUUUGCCCCUCUUCACUUUUACUUUGCUGUUUCUAGCCUGUCAAGAGCUUUCUGGAUCCUGACUCUCUCCUCCAGUGAGUUGCCUAUUUCUUCUAGUUUUAUAUCAUUCAUAAAUCUGAUAAGGAAGUUAACUAUGUCUUAUCCAGGUUGUGCUUGAACUAGGUGACUCAUGGGAUAGUCAGACCUAGAGAUGGGAGAUCCUAGGUUCAAAUCUUGGCAAGUCAUUUAAUCCCAAGUGCCUAGCCCUUAUCACGCACUCUUCUGCCUUGGAACAAAUACUUAGUAUUGAUUCUAAGAUGGAAGGUAAGAGUCAAAAGAAAAUUACUGCAGGACUUUGUUAAUUUUGUCCAAGAUAACAUCUGUUUUUAUAUAUGUCUGCUUUAUCAUAUUUGUUGACUCUUACUGGUUUCUAGGGCAGUUGGUGACAUAGUACAUAGGACACUGAGUCAUGAACCAGGAAGACCUG
Molecule: long non-coding RNA, 1225 nt
Filed under: Monodelphis domestica (gray short-tailed opossum)
Lineage: Eukaryota; Metazoa; Chordata; Mammalia; Didelphimorphia; Didelphidae
Description: lncRNA (ENSMODG00000038131.1)
Source: RNAcentral